CUAACCCUCCAGCCCGGCUGGUGUGUUUGGUCGACGUCCCCCCCGGGGGACGGGCCCGAAAGGCAGCGGCGGCGCCGCGUCCGAUCCUCGAGCGUAUGGGGCUUUGUCACGCGCUCUGGUAGGGUCGGCCGGCUGGCCAGCCAGCGACCUCACGGUCACCUAUUAUUUUUCUCUUA
This 176-nucleotide unclassified non-coding RNA is filed under the name uncultured Byssochlamys. Its description in RNAcentral is "partial internal transcribed spacer 2". The record is from RNAcentral. Lineage: Eukaryota; Fungi; Ascomycota; Eurotiomycetes; Eurotiales; Thermoascaceae.